UCCAUUGGGAUCCAUGGGUUCCUCCCUUCGUGUCCCUUUGGGGACAUCCACCCACUGGGACGCGUCUGUCCCAGCCCCAGUCCCACUGGGGGACGCUGAUGGUGGGGAUCCAUCCAUUCCCACUGCCAGUCCCACUCCGAUCCCAUUGGGAUCCACCCCNUUCGUGCCCCCCGGGUUCCCCCCGCCUCCCCCCGCUGCCGCUGCUGCAGCCGCCAACCCCGGCGCCUCGGCCCCGUCCCUGGCUGAGUGAGCGCGGCACGGGGACAGACGGACGUUGGGAUCCGUGCGUUCCCAUUUCCGGGUCUGUUUGGGGACGGUGAUCCAUUGGGAUCCAUCCGUUCCCAUUUCUGGGUCCAUACGGGGACGUCCACCCAUUGGGAUCCAUCUGUUCCCAGUUUUGUGUUCAUAUGGGGACAUCCACCCAUUGGGAUCCAUCCGUUCCCGUUUCUGGGUCUGUUUGUGGACGCUGAUCCAUUGGGAUCCAUCCGUUUUCGGGUCUGUCUGGGGACGUCCACCCAUUGGGAUCCAUCCGUUCCCAUUUCCAUGUCCGUAUGGGGACACUGAUCCACUGGGAUCCAUCCAUUCCCAGUUUCGUGUCCAUAUGGGGACACUGAUCCACUGGGAUCCAUCCAUUCCCAGUUUUGUGUCCGUAUGGGGACGUCCACCCACUGGGAUCCAUCCGUUCCCAUUUCCGGGUCUGUUUAUGGACACUGAUCCACUGGGAUCCAUCCGUUCCCAUUUUCAGGUCCAUAUGGGGACAUUGAUUCAAUGGGAUCCAUCUGUUCCUAUUUCUGGGUCCAUAUGGGGACGUUCACCCAUUGGGAACCAUACAUCCCCAUUUCCGGGUCUGUUUAUGGACAUUGAUCCAUUGGGAUCCAUCUGUUCCCAUUUCCGGGUCUGUUUAUGGCCAUUGAUCCAUUGGGAUCCAUCCGUUCCCAUUUCCAUCUGUCUGGGGACGCGGAUCCAUUGGGAUCCAUGGGUUCCUCCCUUCGUGUCCCUUUGGGGACAUCCACCCACUGGGACGCGUCUGUCCCAGCCCCAGUCCCACUGGGGGACGCUGAUGGUGGGGAUCCAUCCAUUCCCACUGCCAGUCCCACUCCGAUCCCAUUGGGAUCCACCCCAACACUUCCAUAUCCAUUGGGAUCGCUCCAAUUCCAUUGGGAUCCAUCCCAACGCCUCCAUGUCCAUUUGGGAUCGCUCCAAUGCCAUUGGGAUCCAUCCCAACACCUCCGUGUCCAUUGGGAUCGCCCUGAUCCCAUCGGGCUCCACCCCAACACCUCCGUGUCCAUUUAGGAUCGCUCCAAUCCCAUCGGGAUCCAUCCCAACACCUCUGUGUCCAUUUGGGAUUGCUCCAAUCCCAUUGGGAUCCAUUCCAACACCUCCGUGUCCAUUUGGGAUCCCUCCAAUCCCAUUGGGAUCCCUCUGAUCCCAUUACUCUGAUCCCAUUGGGUUCACUCCAAUCCCAUUAGGGUCCCUCCGAUCCCAUUACUCCGAUCCCAUUACUCUGAUCCCAUUGGGUUCACUCCAAUCCCAUUGGGUUCACUCCAAUCCCAUUGGGUUCACUCCAAUCCCAUUAGG
Numida meleagris (helmeted guineafowl) is the source of this 1578-nucleotide long non-coding RNA. The record is from Ensembl. NCBI's taxonomy places the organism in Eukaryota, Metazoa, Chordata, Aves, Galliformes, Numididae.